This 486-nucleotide ribosomal RNA is filed under the name uncultured bacterium. Its description in RNAcentral is "partial 16S ribosomal RNA". It matches the Rfam family "Bacterial small subunit ribosomal RNA", at positions 28 to 507 of the family's 1533-position model. The record is from RNAcentral.
GACGAACGCUGGCGGCGUGCUUAACACAUGCAAGUCGAACGCUGAAGACCUGGCUUUUGUUGUGUUGGAUGAGUGGCGAACGGGUGAGUAACACGUGAGUAACCUGCCCUCUUCUUUGGGAUAACUCCGGGAAACGGGUGCUAAUACCGGAUAUUAUUUGGCCUCGCCUGGUGGGUUGGUGAAAGGGUUUUUUGCUAUGGGGUAUGGGUGGACGGCCUACCAGUUUGCUGGUGGGUAAAUGGCCUACCAAGCCUGUCACGGGUAUCUGGCCUGAGUGGGUGACCGGGCACAUUGGGACUGGGACACGGCCCAGAGGCCGACGGGAGGCAGCAGUGGGGAAUAUUGCACAAUGGGCGAAAGCAUGAUGCAGCGACGCCGCGUGAGGGAUGGAGGCCUUCGGGUUGUAAACCUCUUUCGCUAAUGGUCAAGCCGCAACUGUGGGUUGUGGUGAGGGUAGUGGGUAAAGAAGCGCCGGCUAACUACGUG